UAGAGUUUGAUCCUGGCUCAGAACGAACGCUGGCGGCGUGCCUAACACAUGCAAGUCGAGCGCGAAUGGAGCAAUCCUAGUAGAGCGGCGCACGGGUGCGUAACACGUGGGUAAUCUGCCCUGGAGCCCGGAAUAACCUGCCGAAAGGCAAGCUAAUACCGGAUAAGCCUACGGUCCCCUCGGGGACUGAAGGAAAAGGUGGCCUCUGCAUGCAAGCUAUCACUUCAGGAUGAGCCCGCGGCCCAUCAGCUCGUUGGCGGGGUAACGGCCUACCAAGGCGACGACGGGUAGCCGGCCUGAGAGGGCGACCGGCCACACUGGGACUGAGACACGGCCCAGACUCCUACGGGAGGCAGCAGUGGGGAAUAUUGCACAAUGGGCGAAAGCCUGAUGCAGCGACGCCGCGUGAGGGAUGACGGCCUUCGGGUUGUAAACCUCUUUCAGCAGGGACGAAGCGAAAGUGACGGUACCUGCAGAAGAAGCACCGGCCAACUACGUGCCAGCAGCCCCGGUCA
Molecule: ribosomal RNA, 515 nt
Filed under: uncultured bacterium
Lineage: Bacteria
Description: bacterial SSU rRNA
Rfam family: Bacterial small subunit ribosomal RNA
Source: RNAcentral